RNAcentral lists this ribosomal RNA (253 nucleotides) under uncultured bacterium. Its description in RNAcentral is "partial 16S ribosomal RNA". It matches the Rfam family "Bacterial small subunit ribosomal RNA", at positions 524 to 776 of the family's 1533-position model. The record is from RNAcentral.
UACGUAGGGUGCGAGCGUUGUCCGGAAUUAUUGGGCGUAAAGGGCUCGUAGGCGGUCUGUCACGUCGGGAGUGAAAACUCGGGGCUCAACCCCGAGCCUGCUUCCGAUACGGGCAGACUAGAGGUAUGCAGGGGAGGAUGGAAUUCCUGGUGUAGCGGUGAAAUGCGCAGAUAUCAGGAGGAACACCGGUGGCGAAGGCGGUUCUCUGGGCAUUACCUGACGCUGAGGAGCGAAAGUGUGGGGAGCGAACAGG